UCUCUGUUAAGUCACAAAGCAAAUUAGCAGAAGAAUGUUGAUCACGACAUAGAUAUGGAAUAGAACUGCCACAACCCCUUUCUUUGGUUUUAAAUUUUUGCAGAUUCUCCGAUACAUUGAUUGGAAAAGCAGCUUCCAGGGGAGGACAAAAAAAGGAGAAUAAGAAGAAAAAAAGAAGAGAGGUGGAAGGAAUUUGGGGAGCAAUCUUGUCACAUUAAAUUUUGCAAAGCAUCGACAUAGAGCAUACAGCCAUGAAUUUAUUGCGACAUAUACUUCUCCUCGUGCUGGUGCUGGGGAGGUAUGCUGCAGCUGAGCAUUUAGAAGAGCGAGGCCGUUGAGAUUAGAUGCGGAAAGAGAACAUGAGACGUGCAGGCCCAAGAUCCGUUUCCCUCCGUUCCCACCCCAUGUAUAUUAAACAGCCGGCGAGCGGCGGUCGCGCGGCGCGGUGACCUAGCGAGCGCCCGGAGUCCCCGGCCUCCACGCGGGUCCGCGCACGGCCGCCGCCGCUGCCGCCGCCGGCGAUUGCAGAGGGGCGUCUCGCAGCCAGAUUGGUUUCUACAUCCAGGGAUAAUUAUCGCACUCUCACUUGCCUAGCGCCCUUAAUAUUUUCAAAAAGUGCAGGGGGAAGAGCGAGAGUGAGUGUGAGUGUGAGUGAGUGUGAGUGUGAGUGUGUGUGUGUGUGUGUGUGUGUGUGUGUGUUGUGACAGAGUCAUUCUUGAUAAAAUUUAUUAAAAGUUAAAAGUA
This is a long non-coding RNA of Neofelis nebulosa (Clouded leopard), 744 nucleotides long. RefSeq lists it as uncharacterized. The record is from RefSeq and is a predicted model, not a curated record. Lineage: Eukaryota; Metazoa; Chordata; Mammalia; Carnivora; Felidae. The transcript is spliced from 4 exons.